CAAGGUGUGCUCAGUGGUUAGCGCCCUUCGUUCAGGACGAAUAGGCCGGUGGUUCGAGUCCACUCACCCCGACCA
Molecule: transfer RNA, 75 nt
Filed under: Dehalococcoidia bacterium
Lineage: Bacteria; Bacillati; Chloroflexota; Dehalococcoidia
Description: tRNA-Leu
Rfam family: tRNA
About the family: Transfer RNA (tRNA) molecules are approximately 80 nucleotides in length. Their secondary structure includes four short double-helical elements and three loops (D, anti-codon, and T loops).
Source: RNAcentral